Long non-coding RNA from Cucurbita maxima (winter squash), 632 nucleotides. RefSeq lists it as uncharacterized. The transcript is spliced from 3 exons. The record is from RefSeq and is a predicted model, not a curated record. NCBI's taxonomy places the organism in Eukaryota, Viridiplantae, Streptophyta, Magnoliopsida, Cucurbitales, Cucurbitaceae.
AGGCCAAAUGGUUGGAGUGGUGUCAUUUGCAUGGCUUCCAAUUUCAAGGUUUACAGGCUCUCCAUCUCCCCAGCUGCCCAAAUAAACGCUAUGGACCUCUCAAUGACUCCUGCCCCUAAUGCUGGCUAAAGCUAAACACCGCAUCAGUAUCUGGUGCUGAGAUUUACAAUGGAGCUGUAACCGAACAGUUGUGACCACUUGGUGUCCCUUCAAAGCAGGUUCGACAUCAGAGGAGGAGCAGUAUUUCCGGCAGCCGCCUUGAUUGCUUCGAGGAAGAAGAAGAGAACCACAAUAAUGGCAAUGUCACAUGGACAGAAGGGAAGACUUUGACUCGGAGUUUCCAAGACAAACAGCUAGGUGAAAAGGAGAAGUAGAAUGGUGUGAGCUGAGCCGUUGGAUAAAACAGUGGGCGCCUACAUCGUGGGGUAUGUGGGAUUGAUCGGACGGUAGGCGUAGUUGGAUUGGGUUGAAGAGGAGCUGUCUAGAACUUGAACCUCAUCAUCUGGUCGUAGCAGGCAGAAACUGCAGAGGAUCACAUAUCCAUAUCCACUCCCAUCAAUCAACGUAUUUCUUACCUAAAAAUGGACGUUUUUUUUUUAUUAUUUAUAGCUAUGGUGUUACACAUGAUAAAC